CUUCAGCUUAAUGAAGUGGUCUGGGUGCCAGGUCCUUCUAGGGUUAACCCAUUUUUUCAUAAUUAUAGCAGUUUCAGAGAAGCUGCUAUAAUUAUGAAUGGGUUAAGCCUUCCCCCUAAUCCUCUAGUGGCUGUCUCAUUGACAGCCACUAGAGGCGCUUGCGUGCUUCUCACUGUGAAAAUCACAGUGAGAGCACGCCAGCG
This is a non-coding RNA of Pelobates cultripes (western spadefoot toad), 203 nucleotides long. The record is from the annotation of a GenBank genome assembly. NCBI's taxonomy places the organism in Eukaryota, Metazoa, Chordata, Amphibia, Anura, Pelobatidae.